AUUGGAGGUGGUGGUGGGGGUGGAGGUGGAGGUGGGGGUGCAACCUGUUUAGGAGGCAAAGGUGGAGAAGCAGGCACAACUUCAUCAUCAAUAUAGAUGUCAUAUGAGCUAGGUGGUGGAGGUGGAGGAGGAGGAGGUGGUGGUGGUGGAGGUGGAGAUGCCCUGCUUGCUACUGGCGGCAGUGGUGUAGGAGGUGGAGUAGUAACCUUCACUGAAUUCUCUUCCAAAAUUCCAACAAGAUCUUUCAAGGCACCAGAACCCAGAGACUUACCAGAUCGCCGAACAGGUGAAGACUCGCCCACUUUAACAUCUUUCUUUGAUCCAUUCUCUGCUUUAUUCCUCACACCUUCACCUGAUUUUUUCUCCCCCAAUUCUGCCAGGACAGGUGGCGCACUAUUAUACCUCGUUGGUGGAUAAGACACAUGCAAUGAAUUCGUAUACGAUCCUUUAUUAGGAGGAAUCCACCUUGACACCACAUUCGGCUUUGCAAUUCUUGUAUUCACAGGACCUUCCGGUGGCUUUCCUUUUUGCUUUGAGUUUCCCGAAACUUUUCUUCCAUCUUUACCCUUCUUCCCCGGACUCUCUUCCCUUUCCUCUUUAUCUUUUAUUUCAACUUCAUUAGCAACCACUUCUGUAAGCUUCAAACCACCAUUUAUAUACCCCAAAUCAUUUCCUUUUUUCACCUUAUUUUCAGGUUGUGCUUCCUCCUUCAACACUAUAUCAUAAUUUUCAGCAUCCGAUUCAUUGUCUUUUAUAGUUAAAAGAGUAUCAGAUUCAAAUUCAGAUUCAGAUUCCACUUUUGCAUCUGGCGUAUCAACUACAUUACUGAAAAUCUCUUCCAUAUCAUAAAACUCUUCAGGUGUAGGACUUUCUGUCUCACUCCCAUCUUCAAAUUCUCCUUCUGUGUUGAUCAUAGAUGAUAGAGCAUCAGCAUCCGAAAAAAUCACCUGAUAAUACAUCAUGUAUCUAUAUAUAUGAGUAUAUGCAUUCAACUUCUUUCACUUCUCAAAAAAAAAAAAAAAAGAUUCAAAAAUAAAAUCAAAGUUUUCGACUUUCCUACCUCUGCUUUAAAGUUCUUGGGAAUCUGGUCUCUUGAAUCCCACAUGACAUCAACUUCAUCGCGACUCAACAUAAGCACAUUACCUCGAAUAAACGUUGUGUGAAACAUCACUCUAAACAUCAUUUCCUCUCUUACAUGAUCCAAAUGUAUGCAUUCAAGAACAACAUCACCUUGUACACGAUGAUGAAUAUCUAUCUUCACAAGCUCACACUCUUCUGGUUGAUAGUAACGCGCUUGUUUUUUGGUUUUUGAAGAUGAAAACAAAAGCUUAGAACUUCUAUUGGCUGUUGUUGAAGAUGAAUCUUGACCAUAUACACGAACAACAGGUCGACAACCCUUUUCACCAAAAAUUGGAAGGACACGAAGUAUGAUACAAUCCAAAGCUAAAGGUGUGUCUGAAGGUGGCCAAUCAGAACCCAAAUUUCUCCUUGAUAUAUACUGAAGAUACCUCAGCUGUGAAGGCUGAGGAUUUAAAGGUGUAAGAAGAUGAAGAAGCUCUUUAGGGGCUUGUUUGUAUACCAUAUCAAGAGUCUUCUGUUCACCAUUGUAUUGUUUGCGAAAUAGAAGAAGAGCUGCAAGCAUAAAAGCAAGAACAGGCCACCCUCCUCUUUCACAGUGCAUUAAGAGCACGUUUUGUUGUCCUGCUAAUGAUAACCAGCUUUCACUGGACCGAAGAAAGUGAUGGAUCAUUUCUAAUGGUAACAUUGGGCACCCUUCAUAUUGUCUAGGGUACUCCAUUACUGUCAUGUCGUAUUGAGAUAAUAUGUCUGAAAUUUGGGUCCUUUUAUCGCCUUCUCUAAAGUUGAAAACCAUGAAAGACGAAUCAGGAUAGUAGUCUUGGAGUUCUGCAACAAUGCCACCCAUGUACAUCUUGUAUUCAUCUUCUUCCAGUACUUCACUCGAGAAGCAGCAAUCAAAAACUGCAAAUAAAUUUUGUCAAUCAGAAGGUAGAAAAGUUUUGGACCUAAAAUAUACCAAAUUUCCCACAAAUGUCAACUCUAGAAGAAAGAUAUUUGAAACAGAAAAUGGUGGCUGAAGUAAGGUCGUAUGAUAAAUCCGAUACAACAGGAGAAAAAAUCGAACUGUUUCAGUAAAAUUCGAAGAAAUAAUCAACAAAUUACGAAUUCAUCCCAAAAGAAACGGGAAAGAGCGAAUUUGAAUAAUGUGUUGAGAAUAUUUAGCAGGUGAACUUAGAUUCUUCUAUGGAUUCCGAGAUUCUAGAAGAUAAGCGAAAUUGUGUGGCGCUUUAAUUAGAAACAUACCGUAAACCCGCUCGGAGAUCUCAAGGAGGCGAUCCGGCGGCUUGCGAUAAAAGAAGCGUUUGAACAGCGCCAUCUAAUGGCGCUGUUACGCUUCCGACCGGAUCCAAAAUCUUGACCCCUGUAUGUUCAAUUUCUUCAACCCAAAAAUGUUGACUCUGUAAUACCUAGAUCGAUCUCGCACUUGUCCUAUUGUCGUUUCUAAUUUACACCCAGUAAUAUAUAGCACCAAUCCGAUCACAGAGAAGUGUUGAAUUCGAUUUUAAACUCCAAUUGCGAAUUCGAUCCCCCAAUAUAAGCUUAGAAGACAAGGCCGGUGUGUGCGUAAUCUAUAAAUCUACUAAUCUGGGUCAGCUGAUUAAAGAGAAAUUCUGGUGAAGUUAAUGAUGAAGUAUAGAUAAGUUUAGUGGAGAUAGGGUUUGUGGGAAGUUAUAGGUAGGGAAAUGGCGAUCGAAACAUUAGGAGGAAGAAGCAUGUGGUUUUUCUGCCAAUUUGAUGAUGAUUUGGAAAUCACAUGGAGAGAUGGAUGAAAUGAAAUGGGGGAGUGUUGAAAAAGGAAAGAAGAAUCGUAGACCCGAACCUUUCUACCAAUUGUAUGAAUCAGUGAGAUGCAAAUCUGUGAUUAUCACAUACACGUGGAAUCUAAAAGAACAAAGAAAGAAAGAUUAUGAACAAGAUAUGGAGAGAUUUAAGGGUUUGAAGUUCGAAGAAAUAAAGAUGAAAGAGAUAAAAAAAGUUUGGAGUAUAUUGUUGUCAAAGGGAUUUACAAAAAUGUGAUUUUUGCUUUCUUCCAUGGCAACUCGAC
This 3124-nucleotide long non-coding RNA is filed under the name Lactuca sativa (garden lettuce). RNAcentral's name for it is "long non-coding RNA (LSAT_LNC004005)". The record is from RNAcentral. Lineage: Eukaryota; Viridiplantae; Streptophyta; Magnoliopsida; Asterales; Asteraceae.